CACCAGACUCCUACGGGAGGCAGCAGUGGGGGAUAUUGCACAAUGGGGGGAACCCUGAUGCAGCGACGCCGCGUGGGUGAAGGAGCGUUUCGGCGCGUAAAGCCCUAUCGGCAGGGAAGAAGGAGGACGGUACCCAAAGAGGAAGCUCCGGCUAACUACGUGCCAGCAGCCGCGGGAAUACGUAGGGAGCAAGCGUUUUCCGGAAUUACUGGGUGUAAAGGGAGCGUAGGCGGGAUGGCAAGUAGAAUGUUAAAUCCAUCGGCUCAACCGGUGGCUGCGUUCUAAACUGCCGUUCUUGAGUGAAGUAGAGGCAGGCGGAAUUCCUAGUGUAGCGGUGAAAUGCGUAGAUAUUAGGAGGAACACCAGUGGCGAAGGCGGCCUGCUGGGCUUUAACUGACGCUGAGGCUCGAAAGCGUGGGGAGCAAACAGGAUUAGAUACCCCUGUAA
RNAcentral lists this ribosomal RNA (447 nucleotides) under uncultured bacterium. Its description in RNAcentral is "partial 16S ribosomal RNA". It matches the Rfam family "Bacterial small subunit ribosomal RNA", at positions 329 to 793 of the family's 1533-position model. The record is from RNAcentral.